This 688-nucleotide ribosomal RNA is filed under the name uncultured bacterium. RNAcentral's name for it is "bacterial SSU rRNA". It matches the Rfam family "Bacterial small subunit ribosomal RNA", at positions 93 to 783 of the family's 1533-position model. The record is from RNAcentral.
GAGCGGCGAACGGGUGAGUAACACGUAAGCAAUCUGCCCUGUAAUCGGGAACAACCGGGCCAACGCCCGGCUAAUGCCGGAUAUCGUGGCGAGUCCCCUGACUCGUUGACGAAAGAUUUAUCGUUACAGGAUGAGCUUGCGUCUGAUUAGCUAGUUGGCGGGGUAACGGCCCACCAAGGCGACGAUCAGUAGCCGGCCUGAGAGGGUGAUCGGCCACAUUGGGACUGAGAUACGGCCCAGACUCCUACGGGAGGCAGCAGUAGGGAAUAUUGCGCAAUGGGGGAAACCCUGACGCAGCAACUCCACGUGUGGGAUGAAGCAUUUCGGUGUGUAAACCACUGUCGAGAGGGAAUAAUGUUUCGCUUCGGCGGAAUUGAAUGUACCUCUAAAGGAAGCACCGGCAAACUUCGUGCCAGCAGCCGCGGUAAUACGAGGGGUGCAAGCGUUGUUCGGAAUCACUGGGCGUAAAGGGAGCGUAGGCGGAAUGACAAGCAUGCUGUAUAAUCCCGGGGCCCAACCCCGGUUCUGCAGUUUGGACUGUUAUUCUUGAGUUAUUCAGAGGCAAGCGGAAUUCCUGGUGUAGCGGUGGAAUGCGUAGAUAUCAGGAAGAACACCAAUGGCGAAGGCAGCUUGCUGGGGAUAAACUGACGCUGAGGCUCGAAAGCGUGGGUAGCAAACAGGAUUAGAU